RNAcentral lists this ribosomal RNA (394 nucleotides) under uncultured bacterium. RNAcentral's name for it is "bacterial SSU rRNA". It matches the Rfam family "Bacterial small subunit ribosomal RNA", at positions 29 to 403 of the family's 1533-position model. The record is from RNAcentral.
AAUUAACGCUGGCAGAGUGCAUAACACAUGCAAGUCGAGCGGAACUGUUUGAGAUUACAUCAAGGGCAGUUUAGCGGCAGACGAGUGAGUAACACGUAAGCAAUCUACCCUCGAAUGGCGAAUAACUAUCCGAAAGGAUAGCUAAUGCGCCGUACUCUCCUUGGAAGGCAUCUUCCGAGGAGGAUAGACCAGCAAUGGUCGUUCAAGGAGGAGCUGUCGGCCCAUCAGCUAGUUGGCGGUGUAACGGACCACCAAGGCUACGACGGGGUACCCCGGCCUGAAAGGGCGAACGGGCACGAUGGCACUGAGACACGGGCCAUACUCCUACGGGGAGGCAGCAGUGGGGGAAUUUUUGGACAAUGGGGCGAAAAGCCUGAUCCAGCAACUCUGCGUG